Molecule: ribosomal RNA, 496 nt
Filed under: uncultured bacterium
Lineage: Bacteria
Description: partial 16S ribosomal RNA
Rfam family: Bacterial small subunit ribosomal RNA
Source: RNAcentral
GAUGAACGCUGGCGGCGUGCCUAAUACAUGCAAGUCGAGCGAACGGACGAGAAGCUUGCUUCUCUGAUGUUAGCGGCGGACGGGUGAGUAACACGUGGAUAACCUACCUAUAAGACUGGGAUAACUUCGGGAAACCGGAGCUAAUACCGGAUAAUAUUUUGAACCGCAUGGUUCAAAAGUGAAAGACGGUCUUGCUGUCACUUAUAGAUGGAUCCGCGCUGCAUUAGCUAGUUGGUAAGGUAACGGCUUACCAAGGCAACGAUGCAUAGCCGACCUGAGAGGGUGAUCGGCCACACUGGAACUGAGACACGGUACAGACUCCUACGGGAGGCAGCAGUAGGGAAUCUUCCGCAAUGGGCGAAAGCCUGACGGAGCAACGCAGCGUGAGUGAUGAAGGUCUUCGGAUCGUAAAACUCUGUUAUUAGGGAAGAACAUAUGUGUAAGUAACUGUGCACAUCUUGACGGUACCUAAUCAGAAAGCCACGGCUAACUACGU